This is a non-coding RNA of Vicia faba (fava bean), 361 nucleotides long. The record is from the annotation of a GenBank genome assembly. Lineage: Eukaryota; Viridiplantae; Streptophyta; Magnoliopsida; Fabales; Fabaceae.
AUGUAUGAUUUAAGUAAGUUACCUGGCAGGCCUACACACGACUCUUUAUUUGUUAAUCCCACGAGAGAUAUAACUAGAUAUAAUGAAGUUGGAGUGGAGGGAGGACCUUACAAGAAAUUCCACCUUCGAUUAUUGUUAUUGGUGAGGUCCCCAAAAGGUAAGAAAGGGAAGCAACUAGAUGUAGUAGUGGAGGAAGUAAUUGUUGAAGAUAAUGUGAAUGGCUUCUCGAACCCUGUUGUUGCUGCCAAAGAGCGGGCGAAACGCAGAAAUCGAAUCACCGUUAAACUCCUGAGUGAAGAGAAUGGAGGUAUCUCGAUAUCGGCUUCUGAAGUGACUUAUGAGUUUUGUUUUUUAGGGUUAC